UGUGAAAGACAAAAGAUGUUUGGACAUUUGCAGCCUCACAGACGUCGCGCAGUUCAUCAUGAACGUAAGUGUAAAAAAGGCUAAGUUUUUUUUCUGUUUUUCUAACCCUUCUUUCUUAAAUCUCCGCUUCUGUUUGUUGAGGCACACACACAUACAUAGAGCACUUCACCUGAGCCAAUCAGCGUCCAGAAACCUGGAUCACAUGAUCUCCCCCGCCCUCACAGAGACAGUAGUUCAGUGCAGCGGGAGGCAGAGAUGGACGCUAAAGUUACUGUGCACCAUUUCGUUUUUCGGACUCUUUAAAGAUCGCCUUUUGGAUCAAGUGUUGUGCGUGAAUGUAUAACUAAGUUUGAGUCGUUAAUUAUAUAAUCGAUGCAAGACAAAUCUGCUCUUUUAAACGAGUGAUUAUACUUGUGAGGUAACGAUGUUUAUUAGGUAUCUGCGUGUUCUCAUAGUAAGUGUGCCUAUAGCCCCGUAGUUGUGUGUUUACAUAUCUAUCUACAUUAUUAAGAGUGUUAAAUGUUACAUUUGUUGUUAAUAAGACGAUUAUGUUCCGGUUUGAUGCAACGUUUAUUAUAUUUCUCCAUAUGUAACGAUAAACCUGUGGUAAACAACUUUCUGCGCGCAGGCGCUCUCUUAGCCCAGACAGAGUGGCGCUACACAAGCCGCUGGGCUCUAAUAAGGUGUCAAGUUACAACUGCGGGCUAUUGUAAGAUAGAAAUUACCGAUCGCUUUGUAUUAUAUCUUGCUAAUAACGUUUGUUUAAAUCUUAUUUAUUUAUUGUGCUGUGUUAUUGCCAAUAUGUUUGUGGUAAUUUAUCCCUACUGUUAUCAUGUAUAUUAAGUAUAUUCAUGUUUAUGUCACUUUUUAUUUGUAGAAAAACCACACAAUCUCAACCAUAGCUGCAUACAAACCAGUCUGUUGAGUGGUGACAAUAAAUGGGUUAUUCCCGUGAACCAUCUUUGUUCAGUCUCUAAUCGGACAAUCUUUGGUGGGUCAGCACCCUGAGCCGGCAAAUUAUUCUAUGGUGAAAAGCUUCUAAAAGCCCAACCAUUUUUUUCAGUUGAUGUUUUUGCAAAAGACUGCAUUCUGUUUCCAUCAUGGAGCAAGUCACACUGGAUGGUGUCUCCUUCAAGGCAUAAAAAAGUUGAAGGUUUGGGCAAUCGUGGCCUAAUUGUUAGAGAGUCAGACUUAUAACCCAAAGAUCACAGGUUUGAGUCUCGGUACCGGCAGGGAUAGUAGGUGGAAGGAGUGAAUGUACAGUGCUCUCUUCCACCUUCAGUACCACGACUGAGCUACCAUCAGACCUGCUAAAACAGAUUCAUCUGGAUGUUGUGUAUGAAUAAGGAUACUGGAUACUGUGGCAUACUGUGGCGGGGUAGCUUGCGAUCUGGGCCGAUCGGAAUUUCAACUCAGCUCGCGCCUGUCAAGAGAGGGAAGUGGGGGUGGGCUUGCGUGCCAUGUAGGCCAUUAUUGGACAAUUCUUAUAAAUGACGUUUUUUCUGGACCAAUCGGAACUGCCAUCUGUGUUCGCGCCUGUCAAGAGACACCUGACCUAAUGUGGAAACUCUGAUGGAAAUUGAAUUCAAUGUAAGUCAGUCUUUUUGGAGCUAAACAGCAGAUAUUUGUUUGCUUAAGUCAAAUAACGUCAGCUAGCGUUUUUUUUUUUCCAUACAGUUAGCCUAUGCUUCGAACAAAAUGCUUAAUAGCAAGCAAUACAAGCGGACCCAAUGCUGGAAUUUCCGUUAGCAAGAUAGCAAAUUUUCUAGCCAUCUAACAUUAUUAGCUAGUUGUAAUGAUAAUUCCUGCAUUGUCUGACCGUCUUGCUAACUAAAGUUAAACCAUUUAGCUUGCUACGUAAGUAUAUAGUAUUUCAGAUAGCCAACUUAUUAGGCUAUGUUCACACUUGGCGUCUUUUUUCAAACUGCCAGCGUCUGUUUUACAUUCUAAUCCUAUGGAGUAAACCGUCUUUUCAAAAAAGUCAUGAGCGCUUUUUUUAAACGUACGCCGGCGUCUUUUUCUGCAGCUCAAAGCGUCUUUUCAAGUUGAAAAAAGUCCAACUUUUCUGAAAGAAACGCCCUACGUCAAGCAUCUUUUUGACAGCUGACCAAUGACAAGCGAGUAGCCAGAACUGACGUUUCCAUAACAACAAGAACAACAAGAAAAAAUGGAGACGGUGCCGGUUGAUAGACUUUUAUUUUAUUGUUGUUAACCGACAUUCUCCUCCCAGUUAACUUCAAAAACCGACGCGCUGCCCACAAGGCUAUCGGAGCGGCGCGUCGGUUUUUGAAGUUAACAUGAACGCCGCUGCGCUUCGGGCGUCCCGCAGACUCGCAGAUCCUUCCCGAUCCCGUCCCCCCGUCACCUCGCUUCCUGUCUAAAUACAGAAAUGCUAAAAAAUAAAAGAUAAAACACCAGAGCAAGAGCGAGCUUCCUCUUUUCUCGAGAUUCAUAUGAUUGCAGCUGUUGUUAUAGCAACAAAAGACACCCUUGGCUGCAACGCUGCCAGAUUCUUUUUUUACUAAAAAAGCGCCGUUGUCAACUUUUUCUUGUCAAAAAAGACGCCAAGUGUGAACAUAGCCUUAGGUUGUAACCUUAUCAUUAGCCCCUAACUUAAGCCAGGUGCUCUGCCCUGAGUUCUGGCUACUACUCCAAUUCUGAGCUACCCUGAUUAACGACACGUUAUGGAGGUUGUCAUGUGCGCAGCAGUCAUUCAAGUCAGCUGGAUGUAGCCCAAGCGUAGCCCUACUUUUAAAGCGUUUUUGAUGUGUUGAUGUGGGUAGAUGUGACUGUUUACACAACAGCUGAUGCGAGAGUA
This is a long non-coding RNA of Labeo rohita (rohu), 2818 nucleotides long. RefSeq lists it as uncharacterized. NCBI's taxonomy places the organism in Eukaryota, Metazoa, Chordata, Actinopteri, Cypriniformes, Cyprinidae. The record is from RefSeq and is a predicted model, not a curated record. The transcript is spliced from 4 exons.